AUGGGCUACCGGGUAAUCUAUGUUUCUUUCCCUUUAAUGAAGCUGCGACUGAAAGAAUGGGAGCAGGUGAAAGGGGAGAAGCAGCUGUCGGCCACAGAGGAGAAACUGAAAUUAGCUGCAGAAGAGCUGUGGAACUACAAGGCUCAUGAUCAGGAGAGGGCAGUGGCAGAGCAGAGCAAGGAGGUGGCCUACUUGAAGUGCAGAGACUUUAGCCGAUCCAGAAGCUGGUGUCACUCCCAUGAGUCACAACAACAAGCACUCUACCAAAAAUGCCAAGAAGGACCAGGGCAGUGUGGAUUCGUGGGGGUCUCCUCUCUUAACUGGAAGAUUCUGCACACCCUACCCUAAAGGCCACCCUAUGGGCUCCUGGGCACAUCCACCUCCUGAACCUUGGUGGCCCUGAGGAACACCCUAAACCCCUCCACCUACACCACUUGGUAAGAUGAUCUGAGCAGUAUGUGUUGAUUUGCAAAACACAUUCAUCUAAUUUUUGUUGUUGUUGAGUCUUGGACAAAGUGCAGAGGUGUUACCACUGGGCAUUAUAAUGCAAGAGAAAUGUGUCUACCGCAAUUACUACAUUCCUCAAGUGUCUCAUGAUCCCUAUCAUCUUUGUGUCAUUUCUCCCACUCUGUGUUGGUACAUAUGUCUCUUGUGGAGAUGGAAUGGGGCCAUAUACAGAAAAGCAGGCAUGGCGCUUCAGCAGAUGUGUGCCGUACACAGUCCACGUGCUGGGCGGUGGGAGGCAUGAGGCUCAGCCUAAUGUAUAUCUAUCCAGUUGAGCCCUCACUCAUCCACAGUUGUUUGAUGAGUCAUGAAAGCAUCUGAACCAGGGCUAUAACAGGUCUUCAUCAAAGUUUAAGGGAUGGUUCUCCCCUUCACCUUGGGAUCGCCUGAAGCAUGUGGGAUACCCUCUGCAUGUGAUUUGGGAUGUGACUGGGCCAAAGAGUUUAAGUUGUUUGAGGAAUGAGGUGAUGGUUUUUGUUUUUAGUUUUUUGUAGUUUUUUUUUUUUUUUUUUUUUUUUUUUUGUCUCUGCACAAUCUACUCCAAUCAAAAUAAACCUCCAUCCCUUCUCGGGUCUUUUGCA
RNAcentral lists this long non-coding RNA (1085 nucleotides) under Felis catus (domestic cat). RNAcentral describes it as "lncRNA (ENSFCAG00000049490.1)". Lineage: Eukaryota; Metazoa; Chordata; Mammalia; Carnivora; Felidae. The record is from RNAcentral.